This 27-nucleotide non-coding RNA is filed under the name Rattus norvegicus (Norway rat). The record is from RNAcentral. Lineage: Eukaryota; Metazoa; Chordata; Mammalia; Rodentia; Muridae.
UACAGAUUUCCAAGUUGCCCUCAAGAA